Molecule: non-coding RNA, 216 nt
Filed under: Bacillus gobiensis
Lineage: Bacteria; Bacillati; Bacillota; Bacilli; Caryophanales; Bacillaceae
Description: T-box sequence
Rfam family: T-box leader
About the family: Uncharged tRNA acts as the effector for transcription antitermination of genes in the T-box leader family.
Source: RNAcentral
GUAAAAGCGUUGAUAGGAAUUAGUAAGCAGCCGCUCCUUCUAAAGAGAGCCGAUGGUUGGUGAGAAUCGGUGAAAGAUGCUGCUGAAUCCAUCCUUGAGCGAAAUGCUGAACCCAUGAAUUCAGUAGGCAUUUUCGGAUAUAUCCGUUAUUUUGAUGAAGUGGAAAACAGUAUUGUUUUCAAUCAGGGUGGCAACGCGAGAGCUCUCGUCCCUUAC